UACGGAGGGUGCAAGCGUUAAUCGGAAUUACUGGGCGUAAAGCGUGCGCAGGCGGUUUGUUAAGUCUGCUGUGAAAUCCCCGAGCUCAACUUGGGAAUUGCAGUGGAUACUGGCAAGCUGGAGUACGGUAGAGGAAGGUGGAAUUCCCGGUGUAGCAGUGAAAUGCGUAGAGAUCGGGAGGAGCACCAGUGGUGAAGGCGGCCUUCUGGACCAGUACUGACGCUCAUGCACGAAAGCGUGGGGAGCAAACAGG
Molecule: ribosomal RNA, 253 nt
Filed under: uncultured bacterium
Lineage: Bacteria
Description: partial 16S ribosomal RNA
Rfam family: Bacterial small subunit ribosomal RNA
Source: RNAcentral